GACGAACGCUGGCGGCGUGCUUAACACAUGCAAGUCGAACGGAAAGGCCCUGCUUUUGUGGGGUGCUCGAGUGGCGAACGGGUGAGUAACACGUGAGUAACCUGCCCUUGACUUUGGGAUAACUUCAGGAAACUGGGGCUAAUACCGGAUAGGAGCUCCUGCUGCAUGGUGGGGGUUGGAAAGUUUCGGCGGUUGGGGAUGGACUCGCGGCUUAUCAGCUUGUUGGUGGGGUAGUGGCUUACCAAGGCUUUGACGGGUAGCCGGCCUGAGAGGGUGACCGGCCACAUUGGGACUGAGAGACGGCCCAGACUCCUACGGGAGGCAGCGGUGGGAAAUAUUGCACAGUGGGCGGAAGCCUGUUGCGGCGGCGCCGCGUGCGGGAUGACGGCCUUCGGGUUGUAAACCGCUUUCGCCUGUGACGAAGCGUGAGUGACGGUAAUGGGUAAAGAAGCACCGGCUAACUACGUG
RNAcentral lists this ribosomal RNA (468 nucleotides) under uncultured bacterium. RNAcentral's name for it is "partial 16S ribosomal RNA". It matches the Rfam family "Bacterial small subunit ribosomal RNA", at positions 28 to 507 of the family's 1533-position model. The record is from RNAcentral.